ACGUCUUUUUCCCGCUUUCCUCUGAAUUACUGGGCGUAAAGCGCACGCAGGCGGUUUGUUAAGUCAGAUGUGAAAUCCCCGGGCUCAACCUGGGAACUGCAUCUGAUACUGGCAAGCUUGAGUCUCGUAGAGGGGGGUAGAAUUCCAGGUGUAGCGGUGAAAUGCGUAGAGAUCUGGAGGAAUACCGGUGGCGAAGGCGGCCCCCUGGACGAAGACUGACGCUCAGGUGCGAAAGCGUGGGGAGCAAACAG
RNAcentral lists this ribosomal RNA (251 nucleotides) under uncultured prokaryote. Its description in RNAcentral is "partial 16S ribosomal RNA". It matches the Rfam family "Bacterial small subunit ribosomal RNA", at positions 525 to 775 of the family's 1533-position model. The record is from RNAcentral.